UACGAAGGGGGCUAGCGUUGUUCGGAAUUACUGGGCGUAAAGCGCGUGUAGGCGGGUCUUUAAGUCAGGGGGGAAAUGCCAAGGCUCAACCUUGGAACUGCCUUUGAUACUGGAGACCUUGAGUCCGGGAGAGGUGAGUGGAAUUGCGAGUGUAGAGGUGAAAUUCGUAGAUAUUCGCAAGAACACCAGUGGCGAAGGCGGCUCACUGGCCCGGAACUGACGCUGAGACGCGAAAGCGUGGGGAGCAAACAGG
RNAcentral lists this ribosomal RNA (253 nucleotides) under uncultured bacterium. RNAcentral's name for it is "partial 16S ribosomal RNA". It matches the Rfam family "Bacterial small subunit ribosomal RNA", at positions 524 to 776 of the family's 1533-position model. The record is from RNAcentral.